This 868-nucleotide ribosomal RNA is filed under the name Haematococcus lacustris. RNAcentral describes it as "LSU rRNA". It matches the Rfam family "Bacterial large subunit ribosomal RNA", at positions 1107 to 1957 of the family's 2925-position model. The record is from RNAcentral. Lineage: Eukaryota; Viridiplantae; Chlorophyta; Chlorophyceae; Chlamydomonadales; Haematococcaceae.
UAGAAGCAGCUACCUUUAAAAGAGUGCGUAAUAGCUCACUGGUAAAGCGUUCUUGCGCCGACAAUGGCCGGGACUUAGAAAAGUGACCUGCCGAAGCUGUGAGAUUUAGAGAAUCUAAAUCGGUAGGGGAGCGUUCCGUUGUUGGGUGAAGUUUCCAUGGAAAUGGGAAUGGACAGAUCGGAAGUGAGAAUGUUGGCUUGAGUAACGAAAACAUUGGUAAGAAUCCAAUGCCCCGAAAACCGUUGGGUUCCUCCACUAGGUUCGUCCAUGGGGGGUGAGUCAGGACCUAAGGCAAGGCCGAAAGGCGUAGUCGAUGGAAAACAGGUUAAGAUUCCUGUACUGUUUUUAUUGGGAACCAAGGGACGAAGUAGACUAAACUGGGACUGUGAUUGGAAUACAUUGGAAGCGUUAAAGCAGACGAUUUUAGAAAAAAAACUAAAAUAAAGGAAAACGUGACCCCUAUUCUUAUAAGUAAUUAGAAGAGUAGCCAGUGAUGUCAAACUUCCAAGAAAAGCUUGUACACCAAAAAGAAAUUUUAAACAAUAAAAAUACUUGUACCUGAAACCGACACAGGUAGGUUGGUAGAGUAUACUAAGGGGCGCGAGAGAACUCUCUCUAAGGAACUCGGCAAAUUAACCCCGUAACUUCGGUAGAAGGGGUGCCUUAUUUCUAAAUAAGGUCGCAGAGAAAUGGCUUAAGCGACUGUUUAUCAAAAACACAGGUCUCCGCAAAGUCGAAAGACAAUAUAUGGGGGCUGACGCCUGCCCAGUGCCGGAAGGUUAAGGAAGUUGGUUAUUAUUAUUUAUAAUAAAAAGCUGAUAACCGAAGCCCCGGUGAACGGCGGUUGUAACUAUAACAAUCCUAAGGU